RNAcentral lists this long non-coding RNA (232 nucleotides) under Felis catus (domestic cat). Its description in RNAcentral is "lncRNA (ENSFCAG00000049521.1)". The record is from RNAcentral. Lineage: Eukaryota; Metazoa; Chordata; Mammalia; Carnivora; Felidae.
GCCCGAGGCCACCUCCUUUCCAUUCCUCCAGGAACAAACACCAACCAGCAAGCGACAGAAGCUUCCAGUGAGGAGGAUCCCUGGCCUCCCGGAUCUGCAGGCCGGGGACAGAGGAGGGGCCUACGGAGGCAGGUGCUGACUCUCUGCAUGUCGACCGGUCUGCAACACGGCAUCUGGAUGGGACUGAGCCAUGGGCUGGAACACUGUACUGAAAGACUGCCGGGUUUCGGAG